This 252-nucleotide ribosomal RNA is filed under the name uncultured bacterium. Its description in RNAcentral is "partial 16S ribosomal RNA". It matches the Rfam family "Bacterial small subunit ribosomal RNA", at positions 524 to 776 of the family's 1533-position model. The record is from RNAcentral.
UACGUAGGUGGCGAGCGUUAUCCGGAAUGAUUGGGCGUAAAGGGUGCGUAGGCGGCCUGCUAAGUCUGGAGUGAAAGGUACCGGCUCAACCGGUACAGGCUCUGGAAACUGGCGGGCUAGAGAGCAGGAGAGGGCGGUGGAACUCCAGGUGUAGCGGUGAAAUGCUUAGAGAUCAUACAGAACACCGAUUGCGAAGGCAGCUUACCAAACUAUAUCUGACGUUGAGGCACGAAAGCGUGGGUAGCAAACAGG